RNAcentral lists this ribosomal RNA (253 nucleotides) under uncultured bacterium. RNAcentral describes it as "partial 16S ribosomal RNA". It matches the Rfam family "Bacterial small subunit ribosomal RNA", at positions 524 to 776 of the family's 1533-position model. The record is from RNAcentral.
UACGUAGGCAGCGAGCGUUGUUCGGAGUUACUGGGCGUAAAGAGUGCGUAGGCGGUUUUCUAAGUUUGGUGUGAAAUCUCCCGGCUCAACUGGGAGGGUGCGCCGAAGACUGGAAGGCUUGAGUAUGGGAGAGGUAAGCGGAAUUCCUGGUGUAGCGGUGAAAUGCGUAGAUAUCAGGAGGAACACCUGCGGUGUAGACGGCUUACUGGACCAUGACUGACGCUGAGGCACGAAAGCGUGGGUAGCAAACAGG